Peromyscus eremicus (cactus mouse) is the source of this 3336-nucleotide long non-coding RNA. RefSeq lists it as uncharacterized. NCBI's taxonomy places the organism in Eukaryota, Metazoa, Chordata, Mammalia, Rodentia, Cricetidae. The transcript is spliced from 6 exons. The record is from RefSeq and is a predicted model, not a curated record.
CCCACCCCCUCAGCUGAGCUCUACACAUCACAGGGCUGUGGGGGCGGCUGACCGCUGUGGAAGACCUGGAGAUUCUCAGAGACAUCAGGAAGGCGGGCGUGUUUGUCAGGAGCUGAGACAGAUCCAGCCCACAGCGCGCCAUCAGCCAAGAUUUGUUUAAUGAAUGAGGCUCAGAGACAUACAGCAACAGCUCAGGGUCACACAGCAAAUCUGUGAGAGAGAAGGACACAGGAACUAGGGCCACCUGGGCUGUGGUGGCCAGCAGGAAGAAGAUGCAUUCUGCUUAACUCAGGGCUCCUGGGCUCUCAGCUGCAGAUGCCUUGCAGGGGACAUCGUCCUCUUGAGUCCCACAGGCCAGGAAGGACAAUAGAUUCUGGAGACACUUCAGGAAAAACACAUCACCUCCAGAUAGGGUACUACUCACGGUUUCUGGGACUCAUGAGAAUCUUGGGUCCCAUCCUUUACAGAGCCUGAGCUUCCAUGUUGGAGUGAGUGCCAGCUGGGGAUUGCCCCCAGAUCUAGCCUGGUGGGAGAGCAGGGAACCCCCGCUGGAAACCUGGCUGGCUACACAGGCUCCUGGCAACAGAAACCAUGAGGUCACCCGGAGGCAAGAGAGACUGGGAAGGACAGAGCUGGUCCCUAAAGGUCACACAAGAGGUUUGGUUUCUACCAUGGAAAAUGGGAGGAAGAAGCCAGGCUUGAAAGUGUCCCAGAAGAGGAAGGGAGGGAGGGCCUGGGCUGGCCAGCCCCACCUGGGUGCGAACAGUUGGAACAAAAACCCACCCCACCCUGGCUGCCCUGGUGCCUGGCCCUGUGGGAUCCUAAAGACAGUGGUCACCCUGCUCAAGGCUUGUGGCUCCUGAUCUGCCUGGUUGCUUUUGUCCACAAAAUCCUAAUUGUUUACCAAGUAAUGACAGAGUGGUGGGAGUGUGAGGGGCCGAUCCUCGUAUGGAGGGAGGAAUACAAACAGGCAUCAGCAGCCCCUAGGGCUCACUUGGGCUGUGUCCCUGUGGUCCUUAGCUCUCUCAGACCACCAGUCUCUCUCUCACACUGGUUCGAUAACUCUUUCUCACAGGUAGCCCCUAAGUUCAAUAGGCAAGGAUGCGUGAAGCAUCAACCUAUUUAACAGUCAUUAGGGGAACACCUAUCCCAAGAAUGCAAUGGCAUUGAGUGUACACAGAGGGAAACCACUCACUUGCUGGCUGCCUCUUGGUCUGCCUCUCAGCACCUGAGACUGUGCCUGCCAAAUGGAUGCUCCAAAGUUUGGGGCUAACAGGAGAAAGGAAAUAAGCCAGGGAGGGCCUCGUGGCCUCGUGUAAACUUACUCUGCAUUCUGGGCUUGGAUCCUGGCCUCCGGGUCCUCUGAAAAGCUCUAGGUCUUGGAUGUGGGAGUUCCGCAUUCCAGGUUCUAGAUUCUAGGCCUCGUAUGCCAGGGUCUGGAGUCUGAUGUCUGGAUUGAAGGCCUCAUUUUAGGGUUCUUGCUAGGUUCUAGGUUCUGAGCUCCAGGAGGGCUCUGGAUGUGAGGAACCUGCCUGUGGACUCUGUGGUUCUGGGUUUAAGGGUUCCAUGCUCUGAGCUCUUCAGUUUGGAUGUGGGUGUCUAGGCUCUAGACUCUGAGCUAUAGAUCCCUAAGUUUUUGAGUCCAGGGCUAUGAUUCCUGAUUCUUGGGUUUAAACUACAGAUUCUAGACAAGUGGCUGUCAACUUUGCUAAUGCUGUGACCCUUUAAUACAGUCCCUCAUGUUGUGGUGACCCCAACCAUAAAAUUAUGGCCCUGGUCUCACAAGGGCCACCAUACUGGCCUUCUGGCCUCCUCCUCCUCACUGCAGCCACAGUGAAGACAGGAGCAGCUUGCUGUCUUGUCCCCAGAUUUCAACUAUAGGGUUGUGUGUUUAUUUGAUAAAGGAUGGAUCUGGGAGUAGAUAUGCAUGCAUGUGUGUGUGGUGGUGGGGGGGGGGUUAGCAACCCCCUUUUGCCACAUACUGUUAUAGGUGUAGGAAGCCUCAUCAGUGAGAACAAAUAGGAACCACUUCAAAGGAGAUCAUGUUCCAGGUAUGAGAUGUAAUGAUACUUCUUGGUUCAGGGCAAACUUGUCUGGCCCAAAGUUCAGAAUGGACAGUCUAGAACAAUGGUUCUCAACCUGUGGGUUUCGACCCCCUUGGGGAUUGAACAACCCUUUCACAGGUGAGACCAUUGGUGGCCCAGGACACCAGUGACUGCCUGCAUCUGGGAUCCACACAUUGGCCAAGGGAAACCUUGAUGAAAGAUUCUAGGCAUGUGAUUAGUGACAAUUGCUGAGAUCACUGCCAGGGACAACUUUGUGUACAGGCCAGUGACUGGACACAUCACUGACCAGAUGCAAUGAUAGCAUACUGGUGAUUGGUUAGCAAUCAGUGACAGGGUGAUCAAGUUUGCCAGUGAACAGAUCUGACAACCUGGUACCCUAGAAACCAGAGCUGACCACACCUGGGGGAACCUGAGUGGUACAGGGCAGUUAUUGGCUCUCUGAAAAGCCCAAACGGGCACCUUGCUGAGCUCUCGGAAAAGGAGGCUGGAGAAGAGCCCUGUCCACGCCCCAUGUACCUUCCCUGAAAGACAAGAGACAGCAGAAACAAGGUCACUUGACAGCUCAAGCCCCAUCAGGGAUGUGGGGUCUCAGGGACCCACUCGACAGGCUGCAGCAUUCACAAAAAAAGUAUUUUAUUAUUUUUAACAGUAUUCACUUUAAAGGAAUAGGAGGGUAGCAUACAAUUUUUACAGACAAUAUUUAAAUGUUGUACAUAGUUAACAAUAACUUAGGUCACUAAACCAAAAUAAAACAAGCCAAAAACAUAAAAACAGAAAAUACUGCCGAUUCUUUUUCUUAUGCGGGUACUAGCACAAAAUAAGUUACUUCCGGUUAUGGUGCGCUGCAGCAACUGGACUCCAAUAUUGCACUUAGUUGACUUAGCACAAUUGUCUUCCCGGGCUAGGGGCCCCUUGCUGGCCGCUGCACCACCGCCACCGCACACAGAAUCGGAGCUUGGGACACAUUUUAUGUACAGCUGUUGUACCUUGAAGGAUCCAGCCAGCCACAACAGAACAGAACCCCCGGGGAUCACGGGGCCACUGCCUGCCCGUCCCCUGUCCCCCAGCAACCAAGAGCAUAAGAUCCCUCUUGUCCCCAGCCUCCUGCUAGGGCCCUGGGAUCCAAGAACUAUUCAAGAAAGAACCGUGAAGCUCAGCCUUGGUUUGUAGGUUUUAUUCCUUUUCAUACUGGGGCUUCUGUGGCAACGUACAAUUGACUGGACCCAAAACGAGUUUAAAAAUAAAACCACUCAUCAGUGAGUUAAGCUUA